CCUACGGGAGGCAGCAGUAAGGAAUAUUGGUCAAUGGACGAAAGUCUGAACCAGCCAUGCCGCGUGAAGGAUGAAGGCCCUCUGGGUUGUAAACUUCUUUUACAGGGGACGAAAAAAGGGAAUUCUUUCUCACUUGACGGUACCCUGGGAAUAAGCACCGGCUAACUCCGUGCCAGCAGCCGCGGUAAUACGGAGGGUGCAAGCGUUAUCCGGAUUCACUGGGUUUAAAGGGUGCGUAGGUGGGUCUGUAAGUCAGCGGUGAAAUCUCCGGGCUUAACCCGGAAACUGCCAUUGAUACUAUAGAUCUUGAAUUGUCUGGAGGUAAGCGGAAUAUGUCAUGUAGCGGUGAAAUGCUUAGAUAUGACAUAGAACACCAAUUGCGAAGGCAGCUUACUACGGAUUGAUUGACACUGAGGCACGAAAGCGUGGGGAUCAAACAGGAUUAGAUACCCUGGUAGUCCACGCCCUAAACGAUGGAUACUCGACAUUUGUGAUAUACUAUAAGUGUCUGAGCGAAAGCAUUAAGUAUCCCACCUGGGAAGUACGACCGCAAGGUUGAAACUCAAAGGAAUUGACGGCUGAGAGUGCGAGACGACGACGAGGGAGAGG
RNAcentral lists this ribosomal RNA (609 nucleotides) under uncultured bacterium. RNAcentral's name for it is "bacterial SSU rRNA". It matches the Rfam family "Bacterial small subunit ribosomal RNA", at positions 338 to 947 of the family's 1533-position model. The record is from RNAcentral.